Molecule: long non-coding RNA, 1330 nt
Filed under: Homo sapiens (human)
Lineage: Eukaryota; Metazoa; Chordata; Mammalia; Primates; Hominidae
Description: long non-coding RNA NONHSAT181326.1
Source: RNAcentral
UGACCACAGGCUUUGGUUUCAGGACAAUGCAGACUGGGCAGCAGAUCAAAUAAAGCCAUCACCAGCGCAUAGGACAGUCUCAAGGGGGUUAACUGUCCCUGUCCUCUACAAUUGUUGCUGGGGAGCAAUUUGCCCUUGAAUCUUCCAUACUGUCCCUAAAUUGACAAUUUCAUUUCCUUCCAAUCCCGCCCCCUGCCCUGAAGAUCUGCUGAGGCUGCGAGUUCCAUGUGAGAAGGCAGGAGGAUAAUAGGCAGCUCCUGUGUAAGGAAGUCAAGAUUUUCUCAAGGGAAAAAUCACCCUAGAAACCAUCAACUCAUGACAAACGUGAUCUCCAACGUUCAUUGUGGAAAAUAGCCUCAAGGAUGAGAUGAUGAGGAUUUUGAAGAUGGGGCCUACCUUCGGGGUGUGGAGGUAGAGACAGGAGAGAAGCUCAGGAUGCUGCUCAGAACAACCCAUGGCUCAGACUUCCCACCUGCAAGAUGAGCAGACGGGCAGAAGGGUCCUCUCCUUGUCUGCCACCCGCAUGGCGUGCUGUGAGGAGCCUGUGAGAACCUGCCCAUCACCAUGAGAAGUGCAACACCAACCUCAGGUGGAAGGUCUUAAGAGAAAACACUGAGGUCCCUCGAAGAUGAAGAAAUCCUCAUGAAGAUGAAUCCAAAGGUGGAUUCAAUUUCAGCUGUCUUUGGACUGAAGACUGCAACAUCAACACUUCCCAGGGUCUCCAGCCUGCCCGCCUCUCCCGCAAAUUUCAGAUUUGCAAGUAUCCACAGUCAUGAGCAAUUCCUUAAAGUAAAUAUUUCUCUGUUUCUUUCUGGAUGAAGUGCAAAAAAUGAACAAGGAGGCCCAAUGAUGCAUCUGCUUAACUUUUCAGUUGUCAAUGCAAAUUAAGCACAAAGAGGACAGAGUUGAUGACAUAUCAGGAACAUUUUUUACUUCCGGAGCAGGUCUGAGUCCCAGCGGAAGACUGAGGCCGACUGAGCCAGAGGCACCACUUCAAUAGGUCACUGGUCUCUGCAGGGAAAGGAAAAGGUGUAAGAGUUCUCCCUGCAUAGAUGCUAUUUGUGACUUGGAUGUUUUCUUUCUAAUACAAAUGCAUCAAAGUGUUCACAGGAAUCUAGCUAUAUGCAAGAAGUCUGGAUUAUCUGCCUGAGAGAACUGGCCAGUAUCUCACCCAUGAGCACCAGAACCCAUUUCUAGAUUACUAAGAAAGGAGCACAAGAACACUGUGUAUAAGGCUCUGUGUUCCUAGAACUUUCUAAAUUUUACUUAAUGCAGGUUAACUUCAUCAACCCUGGUGAAAAUGCCACCUCCUCAUGAGGAAGCCUUCCCC